This 253-nucleotide ribosomal RNA is filed under the name uncultured bacterium. RNAcentral's name for it is "partial 16S ribosomal RNA". It matches the Rfam family "Bacterial small subunit ribosomal RNA", at positions 524 to 776 of the family's 1533-position model. The record is from RNAcentral.
UACGUAGGGUCCGAGCGUUGUCCGGAAUUAUUGGGCGUAAAGGGCUCGUAGGCGGUCUGUUGCGUCGGGAGCGAAAACUUACAGCUUAACUGUGAGCGUGCUUCCGAUACGGGCAGACUUGAGGUAUUCAGGGGAGAACGGAAUUCCUGGUGUAGCGGUGAAAUGCGCAGAUAUCAGGAGGAACACCGGUGGCGAAGGCGGUUCUCUGGGAAUAUCCUGACGCUGAGGAGCGAAAGUGUGGGGAGCGAACAGG